This 666-nucleotide long non-coding RNA is filed under the name Volvox carteri. Its description in RNAcentral is "long non-coding RNA (VCAR_LNC000597)". The record is from RNAcentral. Lineage: Eukaryota; Viridiplantae; Chlorophyta; Chlorophyceae; Chlamydomonadales; Volvocaceae.
CGCCGGGGCUAGGGAUGCCUCGAGGCAGUGUGGUUACAGUGGGCUCCAACACACAAAGAGUACAGCCAGCGGGCCAGCAGGCCGUGCACUGCACCUGAUACGAUGAGGGCAAACAAGACUCCCACCCAGACCAGACAACACAAGUCACCUAGACAUCCAAAAGCAAAUCCAAGGGCAGGCUCAGAACCCGCAACCACAGGGGAAUUUGCAAUUAGACUCCCCGAUUGGCGAAAGUCCUCGGAACCCCACCAGAAGGCCCAUAAGCAAAUACUGCUAAGAACUUGAUGAGAUACAUUAAGCAAAUACUGAUAAGAACUAGAUGAGGUCUGAGUGAGCUUGUGCGUAUGAACAGCUACAUUGCAUUGCUCAGACAGCUACAUUGAACUGCUCAGACAGACGAAGCCACAUAGGCCGCAAGCCACUUCAGCAUAGUUACGCCUGCGAUCGGCCAUAGCCCGCAGACGCGGACGCCGCAAAUGCUAUCUGUUUACACCCUACAGGCGUGGUUCACGUACGUAUUCGCGUAUAUAGAAUUUCAUAUAGAAAUUUUGCGUGUUCCUUGCGACUUGCGACUUGCGACUUGCGACUUGCAACUUUAGCAGUACCCGCAAUUUGUUAUGCAAGCAGUCACCUCGCACCCGCAAUUUGUUAUGCAAGCAGCCAUAA